Molecule: ribosomal RNA, 446 nt
Filed under: uncultured bacterium
Lineage: Bacteria
Description: partial 16S ribosomal RNA
Rfam family: Bacterial small subunit ribosomal RNA
Source: RNAcentral
CCUACGGGUGGCAGCAGUCGAGAAUCAUUCACAAUGGGGGAAACCCUGAUGGUGCGACGCCGCGUGGGGGAAUGAAGGUCUUCGGAUUGUAAACCCCUGUCAUGUGGGAGCAAAUUAAAAAGAUAGUACCACAAGAGGAAGAGACGGCUAACUCUGUGCAAGCAGCCGCGGUAAUACAGAGGGCUCAAGCGUUGUUCGGAAUCACUGGGCGUAAAGCGUGCGUAGGCUGUUUCGUAAGUCGUGGGGGAAAGGCGCGGGCUCAACCCGCGGACGGCAAAUGAUACUGCGAGACGAGAGUAAAGGAGGGGGAACCGGAAUGCUCGGUGUAGCAGUGAAAUGCGUAGAUAUCGCGAGGAACACUGGUGGCGAAGGCGGGUUACUGGACAUUAACUGACGCUGAGGCACGAAGGCCAGGGGAGCGAAAGGGAUUAGAUACCCGUGUAGUC